CCUACGGGUGGCAGCAGUGGGGGAUAUUGCACAAUGGGGGGAACCCUGAUGCAGCGACGCCGCGUGAGUGAAGAAGUACCUCGGCGCGUAAAGCUCUAUCAGCAGGGAAGAAAAUGACGGUACCUGAAGAAGAAGCCACGGCUAACUACGUGCCAGCAGCCGCGGUAAUACGUAGGGGGCAAGCGUUAUCCGGAUUUACUGGGUGGAAAGGGGGCGUAGACGGCGAUGCAAGCCUGGAGUGAAAGCCCCGGGCCUAACCCCGGGACUGCUGUGGAAACUGCGCGGCUGGAGUGCAGGAGAGGCAAGCGGAAUUCCUGGUGUAGCGGUGAAAUGCGUAGAUAUCAGGAGGAACACCGGUGGCGAAGGCGGCCUGCUGGACUGCAACUGACGUUGAGGCCCGAAAGCGUGGGGAGCAAACAGGAUUAGAUACCCCGGUAGUC
This 440-nucleotide ribosomal RNA is filed under the name uncultured bacterium. RNAcentral's name for it is "partial 16S ribosomal RNA". It matches the Rfam family "Bacterial small subunit ribosomal RNA", at positions 338 to 795 of the family's 1533-position model. The record is from RNAcentral.